GUGUACAUUAUAAAAUCAAUAUUAAAAUGCUUUAAGAUGCUAUGUUGUGGAACACUUAUCAAACUGCUCAUAUUUCCUUGCAGGAAAAAGAAAAAAAAAGGCAUGCAACUUAAUACAGAAUGUGGACGUGAUGAGAAAGUUGGUGGGAUUCUGACAUGUGGAGCAAAAAUGAAGGUGGGGGGCAAAAUGCUUUAAGAUGCUAUAUUUCCUUGCAGGAAAAAGGAAAAAAAGUCAUGCAACUUAAUACAGAAUGUGGAUGUGAUGAGAAAGUUGGUGGGAUUCCGACAUGUGGAGCAAAAAUGAAGGUGGGGGGUUAGGGCUUAUAACCUGAAGAUUCAUGCCCAUGAUCAAGAAUAAAAUUGUGCAAUGUCUCCAAGUGUGGUUGGGUACAAUCUACCUUCCAUGCCUUGGUCUUUCAGGCCCAAAUCCAGAUGGGGAGUUAGAGUUGGAUGCUUUAUGUUAUUCUGGUCCUGUGCUGCCUUAUAAAGUAUCUGUGUCCUACCAUAUUGUCAGAGGAAUCACUUUAGGAGCUGACUGAUUAUUUAAAGUGAUAGAACUCUUCUGACAGCAGAAUCUGCUGCAUCAAUUACUUAUUUAAUCCAGACCUCUGUUCCCAACCAGAUGCCUACAGAAGUCCACAAGCAGGACCUGAAUGCAUUGCUUCAUGUCUCUGACCAUCUACAGCUCUACUCCCAAGCCAGAUUAGACAAGGAGUGUGUCCCUGUACUUUUGCCUCAAGGUCCUACUGUGAUGGCCUCAACUGUGGACAGAAGCCUUUUCUACUUCUCAAAUUCCAGAAUCCCACAUUCAACAUGGCCACUGACCAUGCUUGCUGUUGAGUUCUGGGGGAAGUAGCCCAGAAUGUAUCUUUGCCCCUUUUGAAUGUGUGACCAGCGUUAGCUACUGGAUCUUUCUCUGCUCAGGUAAUUUUCCUGAAAUCUGGUGGAAACUAGCCAAUGUAAUUGGCAGCUGAAGCACUGUGUAGAGUGCUUGUGACAAAAUGGUGUUUCAUUCCCAACAUCAAAGAUAGAAAUGAGUUUCCCUGAGGGAAAGCAAACAUGACCUUUGUGUGGAAAGCUCAUGGGGAGAGGGUGGAGGAGGAAAGAAUGACUUCAAUCAGCGAAAACAAACAGGGCUUUUACAGUCUAUGUACACAGCAGCACGGCUGUGUUCAUAAAAACUAUAUAGGAGAAAUGGGCCAAUCAGAUAAAAUGUAAUUGUCUUUGAAUGGCUCAGUUGUCACCUGUCAAAAUAAUACUGUGUGUUCGAUUGCCCAGUUUUCUUUGCAUUUUUAAAAGAAUAAAAUAAUUUUGUUAAGGAUUCCUUUUUAGAUC
Molecule: long non-coding RNA, 1334 nt
Filed under: Pogona vitticeps (central bearded dragon)
Lineage: Eukaryota; Metazoa; Chordata; Lepidosauria; Squamata; Agamidae
Description: lncRNA (ENSPVIG00000021833.1)
Source: RNAcentral